This 588-nucleotide long non-coding RNA is filed under the name Zonotrichia albicollis (white-throated sparrow). RNAcentral's name for it is "lncRNA (ENSZALG00000012443.1)". The record is from RNAcentral. Lineage: Eukaryota; Metazoa; Chordata; Aves; Passeriformes; Passerellidae.
GCCCUGCGCAGCCGGACCCAGCAAGAUCUGGCUCAGCCCUGCCAGGCCGCACUUAAAAAUCACAGAAUCGAUUAGGAACAGAAGUGGAAACUCAGAGAGAAACCUGUGGACUGCUAGUAAAUGAGAUGGAGGCAAGAGCUGAUCAAAGCUUUGAGAUCUCCUCAGGGAGAAGCAGUGUGUCCUUCAGAGGUUGCUGUGCCGGUUCUUGUAAGCCUGUUGGAGCUGACUGACUUUUCUGAAUGAAAAGGCUCUCUCUCAGAGAGAGCAGCACAUUUCCAGGAGCCUGGCUCCAGCAAGCAAACUUCCCUGUGGCUUCCUGUCGGCUUGGGGAGGAUUCGUGGCUGGGAUGUUUUACCUUUUCCGUGCCAACUCAACUGGAGUCAUGUCUCAAGAUGGUUCUUUGAUACCCUGUACAAAGGAUUGUUCCUUAUGGUGUUUUUGUCACGAAAUAAUAUGUUUCUGCAAAAAUUAAUCUGAUUAAAAUACAAAGAAUUAGGAUGGGGGACUGGAUAUGUGCAAAGUAGUAUUUAUGUAUCUGUUUCUUUUGUUAAUAGAUAGGCCUGCCAGUCCCACAAAAACUUAAGCAUG